RNAcentral lists this ribosomal RNA (118 nucleotides) under Daucus carota subsp. sativus. The record is from RNAcentral. Lineage: Eukaryota; Viridiplantae; Streptophyta; Magnoliopsida; Apiales; Apiaceae.
GAGAGUAAUUAGACCAGCACUAAUGCACCGGAUCCCAUCAGAACUCCGAAGUUAAGCGUGCUUGGGCGAGAGUAGUACUAGGAUGGGUGACCCCUGGGAAGUCCUCGUGUUGCACCCC